UACGUAGGGGGCAAGCGUUGUCCGGAUUUAUUGGGCGUAAAACGCUCGUAGGUGGCUACGUCAAGUCGGACGUGAAAUCUCCCGGCUUAACUGGGAGAGGUCGCUCGAUACUGGCGAGCUCGAGGCAGGUAGGGGGAAGCGGAAUUCCCGGUGUAGUGGUGAAAUACGUAGAGAUUGGGAAGAACACCAGUGGCGAAGGCGGCUAUCUGGACGGUUUCUGACACUAAGACUCGAAAGCGUGGGGAGCAAACAGG
This 254-nucleotide ribosomal RNA is filed under the name uncultured bacterium. RNAcentral describes it as "partial 16S ribosomal RNA". It matches the Rfam family "Bacterial small subunit ribosomal RNA", at positions 524 to 776 of the family's 1533-position model. The record is from RNAcentral.